Molecule: ribosomal RNA, 253 nt
Filed under: uncultured bacterium
Lineage: Bacteria
Description: partial 16S ribosomal RNA
Rfam family: Bacterial small subunit ribosomal RNA
Source: RNAcentral
UACGAGGGGGGCAAGCGUUGUUCGGAAUUAUUGGGCGUAAAGGGUGCGUAGGCGGUCGGAUAAGUCAUCUGUGAAAUCUAUGGGCUCAACCCAUAGUCUGCAGGCGAAACUGUCGGGCUUGAGUAUGGGAGAGGUGAGUGGAAUUUCCGGUGUAGCGGUGAAAUGCGUAGAUAUCGGAAGGAACACCUGUGGCGAAAGCGGCUCACUGGACCAUUACUGACGCUGAUGCACGAAAGCUAGGGGAGCAAACAGG